This 27552-nucleotide long non-coding RNA is filed under the name Marmota monax (woodchuck). The stretch from base 26041 to 26113 matches the Rfam family "tRNA". Lineage: Eukaryota; Metazoa; Chordata; Mammalia; Rodentia; Sciuridae. The record is from RNAcentral.
AGGCGCUGGCAGCUCGCGUCAUUGCCCGUCGCCGUGUCGGGGGGCUGCUCAGGCUCCCCGGAGCCCGCGGCCUCGAUGUCCUUCCCCCGGUGUGCCCUGCUGUGGGCUCGGCUCCCGGCGGGGCGCCAGGCUGGUCACCGCGCGGCCGUCUGCUCUGCGCAUCGCGCCCACUGCGGGCCCCCCCCUGCGGUUCUGGGGCGCGUUCCUGCCCUUGCCGCCUCGUCUGCCUCCGGUGGCUCCAAAGCCCCGAAUACGUCUUUGUUCGUGCCGCUGACUGUGAAACCUCAGGGCCCCAGCGCCGAUGGCGACGUCGGGGCCGAGCUCACGCGGCCUCUGGACAAGAGUGAGUGCGGGAGCCAGCGAAGGCCGCGGGCGAUGUCUGCCGGGCCCUGGCGGCCCCGGGGGGCAGCUGUCCCUCUUCCCCUUGGUGACCCGAGUCCCCUCGAGCGUUGUCGUUGUGCCUGACAGUUUCUGCCUCCCUCGCUGCGUUGAGAGUCCUUUGACUCUUGGGAUUGUGUCUGAUUCAUCCUUAACGGUCCGCCCAGAGUGACCUUUUUCCCUUUGACCUCUCUCGUCUCCGACUGGUUUAAAACCUCUUGUAUUGGGACGUCUUGGCUCCCUCAGUCCCCCGCCGGGUGUCCUUCUCUGUUCCUUCCCUGCCACAGAACUGUUGCCUUCGAAAUGGGGCAGUGGGAUGGGCAGUGAAAAGCCAGAGGCGGAGUUCUUUCAGGAUUCUUUGUCAUUGGGCGAGGUCGCAGUGUUGGGCUGCAUGGUGGGUGAAGGGAGGACCGAGACAGAUUCUGAUAAUCUGCUGUCAUACAAGAUACAGCUUGAUAAAGGGGUCCUCGCUAAAAGAGGGACCAUAGUCAUCCAGGAGCCAGAGAGAAAGUAAAAGUGCAGCAUCAGUGAGUGGCAGUAGGUUUUGUCACCAAAACUAAUUUUGGAUGGAUUUGACAGCGAGAUCUGUAAAUAUUUUCGAGGGGAGUUUAGCGUUAUAUAGCCGCACUUUGGCUUUUGGCUGAUGAAGAAGGUGAGAGGUUUCCUCUGACCAAGGAGAUCCAGGGGAUGCCACAACUCUGCCGGGCACUAGCUUUCCAGACUGUCUUCAGGGAGUUACUCCGACUAGCAACAGUACGUCCCCUAUUGUAAUUUGAGAAUACAAAUUUCAGCUUGAUGCGGUGCACACUGUAAUCCCAGGGACUCCGGAGGCUGAGGCAGGAAAAUCUCAAGUUCGAGACUAGCCUCAGCAACUUAGCCAGAUCCCCAGCAACUUAGUGAGAACGACUCAAAAUUUAUAAAAGGUGGGGAUGUAGAUCAGUGGUAAAGCACCCUGCGUUCAAUCCUCAGUACCAAAUAAAUAAAACUAAAAGUAAAAUAUGGAUUAUAGCAUGCUUUGGGUCAAAUCUUGUUUUUCAGAGCAGUAUAGUAUAUGAUGCACCUCAUGUCUAUGUUAUUUUUCUUUCUUUCUUUUCCUUUUUUUUUUUUUGAUACGGUGUUAUUAUGUUGCCCAGGAGGCCUCAAACUUUUGGGUUCAAGUGAUCCUCCUGCCUUGUUGGCUCAGUAGUCCUCUGGAGCUGGGACUUCAAGCAUAUACCACCAGGCCAGUGCUCAGCAAGGCCUUUCACUUUACUUGGAGUUGGGGUCUAUAUCGUUUUAACAACAAUUUUAAUAAUGUAAUUGUAUUAUUUCUGCUUAUUUUUAAAUUGUAAAAACAUAACAUUUAACAUCUUAAUAAUUCUUAUAUGUAUAGUUUAGUCAUGUUAAGUUCAUUCACAUGUGAAAAUGACCUCUAGGACAUUUUCAUCUUGUAAAAUUGAAACUCAGACAACAGUUAACCCAUUAAACAACAAUUUCCCAUUUACUGAAGGCAUACAGUAAUUUGUGUGAGGUAAUUUGGCUAACUUUUUUAUAUUCAAAUAUUGAUACAUUUCCAUCUCUUUUGCCUGCUUCUUAUCUGAUAAGUUGAUGUACUACUUCAAGGUUCUGUUCCACAUCAUUUUGCCAUACUUCAUACUUUUGCUAUUAAGUGUCUCAUUUUCUCCCUCUCCCCUAAAAUCAGUACUCCUCUCCCCUAAAAUCAGUACUCCCUUCUGACCAUUGUCUCCGACAUGGACCUCUCAUUCAUCCUCGAUUUAUAUAGCUGCCUACCAGGUGGCUCCAUUCAGAUUGCUUACUCCUUAUACUAGCAUGUUCAAGACCUGCUCCAGGUGCUAAGAUAAACAACUUGGUGGAUUUGAUUCUUCCCAUUCCUCACCUCCCAUAUUUAACAGAAGGUCCAGUUGACAAGUCUUGUUGAUUCUGUCUGAUAAAUAUUGAGUCAAUUUACUUCUUCUCCACUGCAGCCAACUUAAAUUUUUAGCUUCUAUCUUGGACUGGAUCAUUGAAAUAACUCCUUACAUGUCUCCUGGAAUACCUUUGAUCUCUCUAUUCUAUUUUCUUUUUUUGGUACUAGGAUUGAACCCAGGGGUCCUUAACCUCUGAGCCACAUCCCCAGCCCUUUUUUGUAUUUUGUUUAGAACAGGGUCUCACUGAGUUGCCUAGGGCCUCACUAAGUUGCUGAGGCUGGCUUUGAACUCUCGGUCCUCCUGCCUCAGUCUCCCACACUGCUGGGAUUAUAGGUGUGCACCACCAUGCCUGGCUUCUAGUCUAUUUUUCUUCUAGUCUAUUUUCUGCCUGCAAUCAGAAUGUUCUUUUAUGGUGGGGUUCUUUUUUUUUGUCUUUUUUAGAACUGGGGGUCGAACCCAGGGCUUUGCGAAUGCAAGGCAGACGCUUUGCCACUGAGCUACAUCCCAGCCCCAGAAUGUUCUUUUAAAAAGAUUGAACCUGUUGCUUUUCUGCUAAAAAAAUUGUAUUAUAUUUUUUCAUUGUCUGUAAUUUAAAAUAGUCCCCAAGUCUUAAUAUGGCUGGUAAGACCCUGUCUGACCUGGCCUCUCUCUCCCAGCUUCAUUGUCUCCCACUUUCCAUCCUUAAGCCAUAUGUAUGACAUGUGCCUCUGCUCCAGGUGUACGAAACAUACUACUGCUUCUGAUUGAGUACCCCUGUACUGCCUUCACUUCAGAGUUAAAAACAAAAAAACAAAAACUUUUUUUGUAGUUGUAGAUGGACAUCAUGUCUUUAUUUUAUUUGUUUAUUUUUAUUCUGUGCUAAGGAUUGAACCCAGUGCCUCACACAUGUUAGACAAGCACUCUGCCACUGAGCUCCAGUCCCAGUCAGAAUUUAACUUGAGAAAUAGUUGUUUAUAGUUACGGUGUAUGAUGUGAUAUUUUGAUAUGUUUGUGUCAUAGAAUGAUAAAAUCAAGCUAAUUAACAAAUUCUUCACACACUUUUUAAAAAGAAAAGCUAAAAGAUUUAUUUAGUGAAAUGGAAGUGACACCCUAAGAGGUAUGGAGCAGACCUCUUCCAGGAGAGGAAAUGGCCCACACUUAUUUUUUAUGUGUGGUGAUGACAUUUAAAAUCUACUCUUAGCAAUUUUGAAACAUAUAAUAACAUUUAUUAUAGUUUCCUGUCUGGAUAAUAGAUUGCUCAAACUUACUCCUUCUGUGUGUCUGAAAUUUUGUACCCUUUGGUCAAUGUCUUCACUUUCACCUUCAACCUACCCUGCCACUCCAUCUCUACUUCUCUGGCUUGGCUUUCUUAGGUUUCAUGUAUAAGUGAUGCAUUUAGUAUAAUGUCCUCCAGAUUCUUCCAUGUUGUCUCAAAUAACAAUUUCAUUUUUAGGGCUGAAUAAUGUUUGUCAUAUGUGUGUGUGUGUAUUUACACAUAUAUGUUUAUAUAACUACAUAAAGCUAUAUGACUAUAUACAACUAUAUAUGUGUAUAUAUAUACACACACACACACACACACACUUAUGUACAUAAAUAUAAAUAGUUGUAUAUAGUUAUGUACAAUGGGAUGUUUUUUGUUGUUUUGUUUGUUUUAUUGAGAGAGAGAGAGAGAAAGAAUUUUUUAAUAUUUAUUUUUUAGUUUUCGGUGGACACAACAUCUUUAUUUUAUUUUUAUGUGGUGCUGAGGAUUGAACCCAGCGCCCCGCGCAUGCCAGGUGAGCACGCUACCGCUUGAGCCACAUCCCCAGCCCCAAUGUGAUGUUUUGAUAUGUUUGUAUAUAUAAAUAUGUUCCACAUAUAAAAUAGGUAUAGGCACCUAGAUUGCUUCCAUAGCUUAACUGUUGCAAAUGGUACUUCAGUGAACAUGGAAGCACAAAUAUGUCUUUGCGUGCUGAUUUAAAUUCCUUUGGAUAUGUAUCUGGAUCAUAACAUAAUACUUCAUAUUAGUCUCAGAAAAUAGAUUUGCUCCAUCUGUAGUUUAUAGGUUAGCAGAAUUUUUUCAUGCAAUUUCAUAUGCUUUUUUCUAACCGUUUUUUUUUUUUUUUUUUUUUUGGGUCACUGAUUUUUUUUUUCCCCCCCACAAAGAAACUGUUGCCCCCACUAGAUACAAAGAAACAGAAGCCCAGAAAUACCAUGAUACUUGCCUGUGAUCCACUCCAGGGAAUGAGUGUGUACAUGUGUGUACAUGUAUCUGUGGAUCUUAUAUUUAGGUGUGGGCAAAUCUAGUGGCUAGACCAGCAAUUUUGAAAUUCUAUUAUAUAAAAUACAGUUCUGUUAGUAGGAUGCUGUGUUCAGGCUUAAUUUCAGUGAGUGUUGAGUAUGUCAUGACUGCAUGAAAAUCUGGUUGGUACUUUUCUGGGAGGUAAAAAUACAGGCCACUUGGCCUGUGUUUCAUGGGCAGGAAACCAUCCUCACUUUUGGCCUUUCUCAGAAAUGUGUAGUGUGUGAGUGGGUCAAUAAAAUGUUUAUCUCUACAGAAUGAUACGAUAGUAUUUUAACAUGUAUGACCUUAAUACAAUCUCAGUGUAAUAAAUUUAAAAUAUUUUCUCCUAUCAAAUUAUUGAUUUAGCCAGGCAUUGUGGUGUAUGCCUGUAGUCCCAGCUACUCUGCAAGCCAAGGCAGAAAGAUCACAGGGUCUCUUCUCUUAGUGAGACCCUGCCUCAGAAUGUAAAAAUAGGCCAGUGCACAGCAUGCUUGUAAUCCCAUUGACUUGAGAGAAUGAGACAGGAGAAUCAGUGCCAGCCUCAGCAACUUAGUGAAUCUCUGUCUCGAAAUAAAAAGGUCUAGGGCUGGGGAUGUGGCUCAAGUAGUAGCGAACUCACCUGGCAUGCGUGCGGCCCGGGUUCGAUCCUCAGCACCACAUACAAAGAUAUUGUGUUUGCUGAAAACUAAAAAAAUAAAUAUUAAAAUUCUCUUUCUCUCUCUCUCUCUUAAAAAAAAGUUUAAAAUACAUAAAUAAAUAAAAAGGUCUAAGGAUGUGACUGAGUGGUAAAUUGUCCCUGGGUUAAAUCCCCAGUACCAUUAAUUAAUUUUAAAAGGGCUGGGGAUGUGGCUUAAUUGUGGAGUGCCCUUGGGUUCAGGGUAAAUUAUUUAUUCAUAGUGGUAUGUCACCCAGACAGGUGUCUAAUUCAACCUCCCUGGUGUCACAGAAAUUUCUGUUACUUUUUUUUUUUUGCAGUACUGGGGAUGGAACCCAGAGCUACAAGGAACUUUCACUAUUGUGAGGCAACCCCUUUUUAAAAUUGUUCUAGGCCCCAGGCUCAGCUAAUUCAGGUGGAUGGGAUAUGGGCUUCCUCACUGAUCCUGCCUCCCCGACCCUGGGUAAUUUAGAGCCAGGUGGAAUGUCAGAUGGCAGAGAAGCAAUGCAAGGUGGAUAGUAUUAAGUCUGUGGGGCUCACUUCUGGUCUUUGCAGCAACAGUGAUCGCUGAGUGAAGAGUGCCUAGGAUAGUUACCCAAAAUGCUGAAUAUCAAAAUCUUCAGCGCCACCUCCCAUUGGGACUAAUCCCAGAAAAUUGCUGACCCCCUGGGCCUGGAGCUAGGCAAGGUGGUGACUAAGAAAUUCAGCAACCAGGGGGACCUGUGUGGAAAUUGGUGAAAGUAUAAGUGGAGAAGAUGUCUACGUUCAGAGUAUCAUGUUGAAAUCCUUGACAAUCUAGUGGAGCUUUUGAUCAUGGUUAAUGCCUGCAAGAUCACUUCAGUCAGCUCAGUUGCUGCAGUCAUCCCAUGUUUCCCUGAUGACUGGCACGAUAAGGAGGACAAGAAGCAGGCUCCACUCUCAGCCAAGCUUGUCGAAAAUAUGCUGUCUGUAGCUGGUGCAGGUCAUAUUAUCACCAUGGAUCUUCAUGCUUCUCAAAUUUAGGGCUUUUUAAAUAUCCCAGUGGACAAUUUGUAUGCAGAGCUGGGUAUCCUGAAUUGAAUUAGGGAGAAUAUCUGAGUGGAGGAACUGCCCUAUUGUGUCACCUGAUGCUGAUGGAGCCAAGAGUGUGACCUUGCAGACUGGUUGAAUGUGGACUUUGUCUAGAUUCACUAGCAACAGAAGGCCAGUGAUGUGGACUGCAUGGUGCUAGUCGGUGGGAAUGAAGACUCCAGUGGCUAUCCUUGUGGAUGACAUGACUGACACUUGUGGCACAGUUUGCCUUGUGGCUGACAAACUUCUCAGCUGGAGCCACCAGAGUUUGUCUUGACUCAUGGAAUCUUUUCUGGCCCAGUCAUUUCUCUCAUCACAGUGCAAGUUUUGAAGCAGUAGUGAUUACUCAUACCAUACCCCGGGAGGUCAAGGUGAAGCAUUGCUCCAAAUUACAGGUGAUUGACAUCUCUAUGAUUCUUGCAGAAGCCAUCAGGAGAGCUCUUAAUGGGGAAUUCUUUCCUACUGUUCAGCUUUGUCCCUUUAUAAUAGAAUAAGUUUUGAGACAUUUUUAUUUAUUUAUUUUGAGGCAUUUUUAAAAGUAAAAACAAACCCCGCUCCUUGUUUUUUUUCCUUGGCAUUUGAUGACAAAUUCGCAGAAGACCCAGCUUGUUCCGCUAUAGAUUUCUACAUCCCACAUCAUGUAAAUGGGGGUUUAUUAUAAAUUGGAGAAAGACAGAUGGAGAUCAACUGCUGGAAUUUCAUUUUCCUUAAAUGAUUUUGUGAACCUUGCAGCUUUAACUAGAGUUCAGCUGCUGCAAGAUUUCAUACUUCUGAGGGUGUUGAGUAAGCCAGUUUGAAUGGUUGGGGAUGCUGAGACUUUGCAUGUGAUUGCUCUUGGCGAUUUUCUUUGUCAGAACAGUUAGCAAUGAAGCAGCUAGUUCUCCAAGGUCUAUGCUAAAUUAAAAGCAAGGAUCCUGGGCAACCCCAAACCUGUUCUUUAUAGCUGAGCAAGCACCCUGUAAGGCAGGGGCAGGCAGCUCAGCCUGAAAAACUGUUUGGUGGGAUCCUGAGGGCGGGAGAAGGUAGCACAGUGCAGCAAAUGUUUCUUUGGAGAAAGAAGUCUGAUUCAUCAUCAUCCGCUUAACCAUGUAAUUUGGAUUCCCCUUUGUAUCUAUUCCUUUCUAUGGCUUUGCCUUUAGCCAUCUUGACCUUUUCCUGGCCAAAUAUCCUCUUGGGCCCAAACAAUUAUUGUACCAUAGUCUUCAGGAACACAAACCUGCUUCGUGCUAUAUAAUUGUUAACAUUCGUAUUAGAUAAUUUGCUUAACCUUCCUUAGCCUACCGUGGUCAUAGAUUUUAGGUGGUAUUAUAGUACCUUUUAAGUAUUUAAUUUUCAUUUUCCUUCCUGGAAUCUGUUUGGCUUUUCCAGGGACCUGACAUUCAGUCAAAAGAUUGAUGUUUUUGUCUCUUGUAGAGGAAAUUAAUAAAGUGUCUAUGUUUGUGAUUUUGGGUCUGAAAAAUUAUUCUAAUUAUUAGGAAGUUCUUAUGUAAAUUCCAUUGAAAUCAGCUUCCUUUACCUCCCACUGAGUUAACUUAUGCCAUCUAGAACAAAAUGAGAGGAAUGUGUUCUUCAUAAAAUCAUCAUCUUCAAACUAAAGAUCAUCCCAGUUCUUUAGUCUUUUGCAUAAAAGCAUGAUGAUCUGAUCCUUGCCAAAUUGGUUGUCUUUUCUGCAUUUAUUUUAUCUGUUUACUGUUUGUUGUUUUUGUUGUUAUACAUGGACACAAUAUCUUUAUUUUGUUUGUUUAUUUUUAUGUGGUGCUGAGGAUCAAACCCAGUACUUACAUGUUGGAGGCAAGUGCUCUACCACUGAGCUACAACCCCAGACCCCUGUUUACUAUUAAUAUGCAGAAUGGUUGUAAGUAAAUGAAACGGCAUGGUUAUCUAAAAAUGGCUUGAUAAAAAUUAGAACCUAGUUCUGAGCCCAUUACACCUUGCCCAUUUCCUCUGCAGUAUAACAGGAAUAUUGCCUGAUUUGACUAUUAUUUUUUUCUAGAUAUUUCAUUGCAUAUUAACCCAUAAAGAGGAUCAACUAAAAUCUUCAACUUCUUACGUAUCAUGAUUUCAAGUUUCUUCUGCCAUUUGGUCAUUUCUCUAAAAUAUGAAAUGAAUGUUGAAUUUUUAUGUCUUUCUUCUAGACGAAGUAAAGAAGAUCUUAGAUAAGUUUUAUAAGAGGAAAGAAAUUCAGAAACUGGGUGCUGAUUAUGGACUUGAUGGUAAGACAUAUAAUAUCUUUAUAGAGAUGUAGUAUUACUUUGUGUAGCUUUGUAUAGCUUUUUCAGUGUUCUAUGGGACCUCUUAUGCCCUGAAAGUAGGAGUACAGUUGUGGUCUGGAGACAAGCCUCUGACCAUUGCUUCUUCGAGGGCAGGAGGCUGGCAAGGCUCACCUGUUGAGCCAGACCACACAGCAUAGGAGCUGCCUGGGCACCUUUCCUUCCUGUUGUGCUAGUUUUUCAGCUUUAGCCUAGAUCAAAUUAAACCAGCUGAAUUAUCCACAUAGUAAAAAUAUAGAGAUACUUUGAAUUUGGUGUGGUGCAUUUUGUGCUUUUAAAAGGAGAACUGAAAUGAAAACUAAGCCUUACAUAUUUUGAUUUUGUUUUCUGCAGCUCGUCUCUUCCACCAAGCUUUCAUAAGCUUUAGAAAUUAUAUUAUGCAAUCUCAUUCCCUGGAUGUGGACAUUCACAUUGUUCUGAAUGACAUUUGCUUCAGUGCAGGCAAGUCUUGAGAGAAUUUUGAAAAUUCUCUUGAAUGUACUUUCUGUUUAUUCCAUACUUCAUGUUUAUUUCUCUAGCAUGGCUUAUUUGUUUUAGAAUAUGUCUUGGUAAUAUCCUUUGUAAAUAUUUCAAUGCUUGGAUAGGAAGUUUUGUAAUCACUUGGCUUUUAUAUUGGGUCCCUCAGCUAGUCAUGAGAAUGUCUUAGACUGGGACCUUGAUCUGUCAUCUUCUUUCUGCUGUGUAUUAACAUGGGCCACAAUGGAAUGAGCUCUCACACAAGAUAGGAUUAGUUCAUAGCAUAUUCUACCUGUUUCUGCCACUGGCUUAUUUCUCCAUCAUGUCAGGAUAAAGUUCUUGCUAUAAAAGAAAAAACAAAAAGUAAGAACAUCAUUUUAUUCCAUAUAUGGAAUUAUAUAAAUACUCACAUAUUAUUAUUAUUUGGUGGUGCUUUGUAUUAAACUCAGGGCUUUGUGCAUGCCGGGCAAGGGCUCUACCACUGAGAUACAUCUCCAGCCCUUUUCAUUUUAUUGUGAGGUAGAGUCUCACCAAGUUGCUCUGGCUGACCUUGAAUUUGCAAUCCUUUUGCCUCAGCCUCCCAACUAUCUGGGCUUAUAGGCAUGUGCCACCAUAUCUGGCUAGUUUUACACACACACACACACACACACACACACGUAUAAAAUAAAAUGGAUAAUAUUCCAUUGGGAUCCAUCUAUCUAUCUAUAUAAUAUUUAUAUAGUUUUAUAUAUUUAUCUUUUUGUACCAGGGAUUGAACUACCCAGGGACACUCAACCACUGAGCUACAUUCCCCCACCCCUUCUUUGUUUUGAGACAGGGCCUUGCUAAGUUGCUGAGACUGGCUUUGAAUUUGCUAAGACUGGCUUUGAAUUUGAGAUCCUCCUGCCUCAGCCUCCUGAGCUGCUGAGAUUAUAGGCUGGCAAUACCAUUCUUUAUUCUUGUUAAAUUAAGAAAAAAGAACAGUGCUAAUCUUUGCCAGUUGUACUGGGAUAGUAGAAUGUAGUUGUUGGCAGCUACUUUUCUUUUUUUUUUCCUAAAAAUAUAAGUGGAAUUUGGAUGAAAAAAUAAGAAAAAGAAAGUUCUAGAAAAGGAUGGGGUCUCCUCUUUUAGGAUUCUCUUAUCUUGGCCAUGCUCCCCUAAUUUACCUCAAUAAGAAAAAAGAUUUUGCUUCUUUUGGUUGUAGAUAGCAAGUAGAUUGCCCAUUUUUUAAAAAAACUUUUUUUCUUAGUUAUAGGUGGACACAAUAUCUUUAUAUUUACGUGGUGCUAAGUAUCAAACCCAGUGCCUCACGCAUGCUAGGAGAGCCCUCUACCUCUGAGCCACACCCCAGCCCCAGAUUGCCCAUGUUAAUCUGUGUUUUAUUUUCUAGCUCAUGUGGAUGAUUUAUUUCCAUUUUUCUUGAGACAUGCCAAACAAAUAUUUCCUGUGUUGGAAUGUAAGGAUGAUCUACGUAAGAUCAGUGACUUGAGAUUACCACCGAACUGGUUAGUCCUUCAUUUGAAAUUUUCUGUUUCUAAUUUGGGAAGACUAUUAUUAUGUGUUUUUGUAACAUAUGCUAGGUGGCAAAUUAUAAGGAGUCUGAACAGUACUGUUCAUUCUGUUAGGCUGUUUCCCCUUGAUCCUGUUCAAGCGUGGGCUUGUAUUUUCCUAGGGCAGAACUGAAGCAGCUUGAGUAGGGUGUUAGCCUUGCAUCUGAGCUGUGGCCUUCCUGGAGUCAGCUGAAUGCCAGGGUGUUAAUACUGAAUUUUCUCCCCUGUGGGUGGAACAGCAGCAUCUUCUAGCACUUCAAGACCUCUCAGAAGCUUUCUGCUCAGACCCUUGCUAAGCUUGAAGGCCCUGCCAAUUCUUACCUUCAGCCAGGCUGUGGCCAAGGACCCACAUGAAACCAUUGCAGAAACUUCAGGGCUCCCUACUUCCUUCACCCUUUCUGCUCUUCCACAUUCUGCCCUUCAGAUUCUAGGUGCUUCCGCAGCUCUGCAUUGACUUCUAUGCUCUGUUCUGUGGGACUUUCUUACUCUGCUCGGGGUCCACCUCCCUGUGCCCUGCUUCGAUCAUCUCCAGUGUCCCCCCCUUUCAGGGGUUGCACCUGUUCCACACGUUUGUAAAUAGUUGCUGCAUAUAUUUUGCCCAGUUUUGUAUUUGCUUAUAGAGACAGCACAAGUCCACUCACUACCAGGCAGCCAUCAGGACCAGAAGCAGGAGGCUCAGUUAUUAUAAUAGUUUAUAUUGAAUUCAGAGACCUGGGAAUGUUUGCUUUUAGGUUCACAUAUUUAGAGCUGUGGGAAUGAUGUGAACAUAUCUGUGGAGCAGAUAGCAAUUUAAAUUUAGUAACUCUGGAAGAAAAGAGGUUUAUGCAGUGGGGAAAAUACCCAAGACAUUAAUUUGUAUUGGGGGUUUUUUGUCCUCCGUUUAGUUAACACUGUUCUUGGAAAUCGGUAAUUAUUUGAAUGUGCAUAUGAAACCAAUUACUUAAUUUUUCAAAAUAUCUGUGAAUGUUAGGAGGAUGUUUUUGUGGGGUGUUAUCUAUUUAUUUAUUUAAAUUAAAAUUUUUUUUUUUUCAGUUGGUAUCUUUGCUAGGGUGGAUUUUGGGGUUAAUAAAAUUAAACUGUUUACCCAUUCAUGUUUUAGGUACUCAGAAGCCAGAGCCAUACGGCGGAAGAUAAUAUUCCAUUCGGGCCCCACAAACAGUGGAAAAACUUACCAUGCAAUUCAGAAAUACUUGUCAGCAAAAUCUGGAGUAUAUUGUGGCCCCUUGAAAUUACUGGCACAUGAGAUCUUUGAAAAGAGUAAUGCUGCUGUCAGUAUAUCACCAAAUAUUUGCUCUUUUUUUCUUGUUCCAUUUUCUUUUGGGGUUGAAGUUGGACAAGGGGAAAAGAAAGAUGUAGUAGUUUACUAGUAACAAAUUAUACCUUAUUUCUUUGCAUCUAGGAAACUAUUGAUUGUAAGAGGUGCCAUUAUUAUAUGUGUAAUUAAGAAAGAAAAGAUGCUCAGUGUGGCAGUAUAUACCUGUAAUCCCAGUAGCUCAAGAGGCUGAGGCAGGAGGAUCUCACAUUUGAGGCUAGCCUCAACAACUGAGUGAGGCCCUAAGCAACUUAAAGAGACUCUGUCUCAGAAUAAAACAUAAACGGGCUGGGAUGUGGCUCAGUGGUUAAGUACCUCUGAGUUCAAUCUGUGGUACCAAAAAAGAAGAAAACAAAAGAAAGGAGAAGAUGCUGCUAAUUGAGCUCUGGCAUGCUCUCAGUGCUUAAUAUGCAUCCUGAUAUUAGAGAUAGUAAAAUGUAGAAAAGUGAACACUUUAGAAGGAAUGAAUAAAACAUUGUAGAAUAUUUUAUGCCUAGAGAGAAAUGCAGAGUGGCAUAUAAAUAACCUUGAAUUCAAGCUGUCAGAUCCCAGCUUGCUUCAUCUAUUUAUUUAUUUAUUUGGUACUGAGGAUUAAACCUAGGGAAACUUAAUCACUGAGCAUAUCCCUAGUCCUUUUUAUUUUUUAUUUUGAUACAGGAUCUCACUAAGUAGCUUAGGGCCUUACUAAGUAUUGCUGAGGCUGGCCUCAAACUUUCAAUUCUCCUGCCUCAGCCUCCUGAGUCACUGCAAUUAUAGGUUUGCACCGCCACAACUGGCUGAAACUACUUGUUCAAAACUGAAAGGACUAAACCCUGUAAUCACUGAGACAUCAUUUCACUAAAUGGGUCACAUUUUGACUCAUUAUUUUAUUAAAACUUUACAAUGAGAGAUUAACCAGUUUUGGUUAGGUAAUUUGUAUUUUUUUUUAAUGAUUUGGGUACAUAAUUCUUCUAUCCAUAAAUAUUUGAAAACGUAUUUACUCAGAACAAAAACUUUUUUUUAAUAUAACCACAGGAUAUUUAUCUGAAGCAGGAUAAAUCAUUUAAUAUGAUAGAAUACUAUUAUUUAAUAUACAGUCCAUAUUCAGAAUCUGUCAGUUGUCCAGUAGCACCCUGUCACUCCCAUCCAGGACUCCAUUUGAGGUUUCCCACUAUUCUAAAUUGUCUCUAGUUUCCAUUAAUCAGGGAUAAUUCCUUUGUCUUCCUUUGUUUUUAUAACUUUUGUACUUUUAGAAGACGACGGGUCAGUUUUGUUGCAAACUGUUGCUUAGUUUGUAUCUGUCUGAUAUUCUCUUAUAAUUAGACUCAGAUCACUUAGGGGUGGUGACCAACCCUCCAGGUUUGACUGAACUUUACUCAAAGUCCUUUGUUCUGGGGAACCCCUCAGUAGAGGGCAAGCCAGUUGUUUGAGCACUCUCUUAUACCACAGCAUUGGUAUUUCCUUCUCAAGGAAGUAUAUUAGGAGGUCGUUACAGUCUUAAAUUUUAUUUUUAGUAUUCUUUAUAAUUUUUUUAUUUUUAGGAAAAAAAAUAUAUAUAUUUUGUUGUUGUUACAGGGAUUGAACCCAGGGGCACCUAACCACUGAGCCACAUCCCUAGCCAGUUUUUUGGUACCUGGGAUUGAACUCAAAGGGCAGUGAUCUACUGAGCCACAUCCCCAGCCCUAUUUUAUUUUAUUUAGAGACAGGAUCUCACUGAGUUGCUUAGCAUCUUGAUGUUGCUGAGGCUGCCUUUGAACUUGUGAUCCUCUUGCCUCAGCCUCCCUAUCACUGGGAUUACAGGUGUGCGCCACUGUGCCUGGCUUCCUAGCCUUUUUUUAUUUUUAAUUUUGAGACAGGAUUUUGCUAAGUUACUUAGGGCCUUGCUAAGUUGUUGAAGCUGGCUUUUAAUUCAUGAUUCUCCUGCCUCAGCCUACCCAGUCACUGGGAUUACAGGCAUGUGCCACCACACCCAGCUAAUUUUUAGUAUUCUUUUUUUUUUUUUUUUCAAUUUUUUAAUAUUUAUUUAUUUAUUUAUUUUUAGUUAUUGGCGGACACAACAUCUUUGUUUGUAUGUGGUGCUGAGGAUCGAACCCGGGCUGCACGCAUGCCAGGCGAGUGUGCUACCGCUUGAGCCACAUCCCCAGCCCCCAUUUAGUAUUCUUGAGUAUAGAAACAAUCAUGUUCAUUUUAACAACUCCGAUAGUACAGAAACAAAGUUAAAAAGUUAAACUGUGGGCUGGGUUUGUGGCUCAGUGAUAGAGUGCUUGCCUGGCAUGAGUUUGAUUCUCAGCAUCUCAUAUAAAUAAAUAAAUAGAGUAAAGGUCCAUCAACAACUGUAUAUAUAUAUAUAUAUAUAUAAAUUUUUUAAAAAUGAAUGUGCUUUAGUUUCUCAUGUUCUUAUUAAGGAUUUAACUGGUUGGAGAUAUUUCCAGUUUUACCUAAGUUAUAUAAGAAAGUAGCUCUUAUUUCAUUUUCUAUAAAAAAGAAAAGAAAAAGGCAUUGGGAAUACUUCUAUUUCAGCUGUUAAAUAAAUUCCUUGGUAAUGAAGAGAAUAGACACACAAAACUACUUUUUGCUGUUGUUUUCAAGGUAGAAAUACGACUGGGUUUCUUUCUGUCAUUUCAGGGUGUGCCAUGUGACUUGGUGACAGGUGAAGAGCGUGUGACAGUUGAAGCAGAUGGGAAACAGGCUGCCCAUGUUGCUUGUACUGUUGAGAUGUGCAGUGUCACCACACCAUGUAUGUAAACACCAUUGAAAAACUAUGACUUGGUAUUUUUUAUUUUAAAAUAUGGUUGUACUUGUGAAAUAUGAUUUUUUUAAUUAAAAAAAUUUCUGUAGUUGAAGAUGGAGAGAAUGCCUUUAUUUGUUUAUUUUUAUGUGGUACUAAGGAUCGAACCCAGUGCCUCACACAUGCUAGGCAAGCACUCUGCCACUGAGCUGCAGCCACAGCCCUUAAAUAUGAUUCUUGUUGUGAAAAAACAUUCUAUAUCUGGAAAAAGAAUAGUACAACAAAUGCUACCUGCCACUAGUAAUAAGUACCAAAUAUUGUCAUGCUUACUUAUAGAAGUUAGUUCCCUUUUUUCUUUUAUGUAUGUUUGGGUGUUUUUGCAUUUUAUUUUAUUUGGUAUUAGGGAUUGAACUCAGGGGCACUUUACUGCUGUGCUAUCCCCAAUGCUUUUUAUUUUGAGACAUAUCUUGCUAAGCUGCUGAGGUUGCCUUGGACUUAGGAUCCUCUUGCCUCAGCCUCCUGAGUAGCUGGGAUUACAGGCAUGAGCCAUCAAACCUAGUCCCACCUUUUUUUUUUGCGGAGUGUAACCUUUGAUUGAACUCAGGGACACUUAACCAUUAAGCCAACAUCCCCAUCCCUUUUUCAUAUUUUAUUUAGAGACAGCGUCUUGCUGAGUUGCUUAGGGCCUUGCUAAAUUGUUGAGGCUGGCCUGGAAUGUGAGAUCCUUCUGCCUCAAGUCCCAGGCUGCUGGGAUUACAGGUGUGCACCAUUGAACCCAGCAAUGUGGUGUGUUUUUUUGUUGUUGUUGUUUUUGUUUUAGUUGUCAGAUGGGCACAGUAAGUUUUUUUAAUGUGGUGCUGAGGAUUGAACCCACUGCCUCACAUGUGCUAGGCAAGUGCUCUGCCACUGAGCCACAACCUCAGCCCAUGGUGGUUCUUUUUAGGCAGAUUCUCAAGGCAGUCUCUGAGGCUGGUGAAAAUAAGGUAAAUGGAACUGCUUACUACAGAGAAUGGUGUCUUCCAGUGGUUAAGAGUAUGAUCUUCAGAGCGAGAUGACCUAAGUUUGGAUUUCACUUACUGUCUAACUUUGGGCAAGUACUUAACUUCUCUGGGCCUCAGUUUACUCUUUUGUCAAAUGGAGAUAAUGGAAGUACUUAACUUCCUAGAGUUGUUUUGAGAAUUAAAUGAAAUACAAUUAUAAAAUUCUUGGUACAAGCCAGCCCAAGAGACCCAUAAUGAAGGAUGAUGGUGAUGGUGGUAGUGAUGAAAGCUUGAAUUUUGAUGUUGGAUUUGUUUAUAAUACUAUUUAAGUAGAUUGUAUUGCUCAUGAUAACUUUUUCAUUUUAAGAUGAAGUGGCUGUAAUUGAUGAAAUUCAGAUGAUUCGAGAUCCAGCCAGAGGAUGGGCCUGGACCAGAGCACUUCUAGGUUGGUGGUCUUAGUGCAUCAAGCCUGGGCUUUAUGACAUCUGCACUAUUUGUAUAUCUGCUUGUCAUUGCCAAGUAGUCUGUUAGAUCCCCUUUUUCUGACAAAAGUCUUCUAUAAAAGUCAGUGAAGUGUGAGUUUUUGAAUUUUGAAAUACUAUUUCAAUAAUGGGAAAUCUACUUUUACUAUUACAAAAUAGGUAUAGCUCUGUAAUUAAAGUCAAAAUGUUUAAGUCUCUUGGCUGGGGAUGUAGCUCAGUGGAGGAGCGCUUGCCUAGUAUGCACAGAGCCCUGGGUUCAAUUUGCAGUACCCCAAGGCAAAAAAAAGAAAGUUCAAGUCUUACCACAUUUACACAAUCACUAUUAAUAUUUUGUGCCAUUUCUUUUUCUUAUGUGUGUGGUAUUUUCAGAAUAUUUAAUUUUGUAUCUUUCUCUUUUUCAGUUCUGUUAUUUCAUGGCCAUUUUUUCAUAUUGUUAAUAUAACUGCAUCUCCUCCAUUGAAGAGCUGUACCAGAAUUUGUUCUUUAAAGUUGAACUUUUUUUUUGGUACCAGGGAUUGAAUCUAAAGGCAUUUUAACCACUGAGUCACAUCCCCAGGCCAUUUUAUUUUUUGAGACAGGGUUUUGCUAAGUUAUUUAUGGACUUCGUAAGUUGCUGAGCAUGGCUUUGAAUUUGUAACCCCCUGUUUUAGCUUCCAGUCACUGGGAUUACUGAUGUACAUCACAAGAUGGCAGAGUUGGAACAUUUUUUCCUAUUAUUGAUGAUGCUGAAGUAAAAAUCUUGUGGCCGUGGCUUUUUAUUUUUUAUUUAUUCAUUUAGGGUAGGGUCCUGGUAAUAUGGAAUUCUUGAUGUCCGAUGUGAAUGAUUAUUCUGCUACUUGCUUUUGGAGUAAAUUUUUGAUCAGCAUGUUGUAGGGCAGGUAUUUUCAAAUUUAAAAACAAAUAACUGAACUCUUUCUGUAAAUAAUACUGAUGCAUUAGGCCUAUAAUAAAACAGGUGGAAAUGGAUCUGGCCAGGGGUAAGCAACUUGGACUUUCUUUUGCCCUCCAGCUCCUAACCUCUGUGAUUCCAUGGAGCCUAAUUUGAAAAACACAAGUGUAGGACUAAUGUUGAGCCCUAAGCAUCAGGAUGCCACGUUCCAGUCCUGGCUGACUUCACCCUGAUAGACUUGAAACCUUGGUCAGAGCAGCUUUAGAACUUUGAGAUUUAGAAAAACAGGGAUGAUCUUAGCCCAUUAGAAGGCAGUGGUGGUUUGACAUUUGCAUCAAAGAGACAUUGCUGAAAACAUUUGAUAGACUUGUAAAAUAAUAGGUAGCUAAUAAAGGUAAAGUAUUUUUGUUUUGCGAAUGUUAUAUACUUAAUUAUAAGUCUUUUUUAAAAAAUCCCAAUUGUGCAUUUACAGGACUGUGUGCUGAAGAAAUCCAUUUAUGUGGAGAAUCUGCUGCUAUCGAUCUGGUCACUGAGCUUAUGUAUACAACUGGGGAGGAAGUGGAGGUACUACAUUAUAUAUUUCAUUUUCAAGUGGCAAAGCAAAUAGCUAAGAGUAACUAUACAGUGGCUUUAGACCCUAGGCAGUGGCAAAAUUAGAACCUAACUAAAAAGAAAACUUCAUUUUUUUUUUUUUUUUAAUAGUUGACUAGCUCAUAUAUUUGGUUGAACCUCAUGAUGUGAAGUGUGAAGUUCUGACAGAGUAGCAAUUGCAUCCUGAGUCUUCCAAGAAUAAGAGGCAUUCUUUUUUUUCCCCCCCAAUGCUGGAGAUCAAACCCAAGGCCUGGGUGAUUCUUCAUCUUCACAAAAUUCUUUGGGAUUUGAGCAUAUCAGUUUAGAAUAAGUAAAUUAGGACUUUUGUAUCCCUUUUGCAAAUUCCUAGAGUAGGAAGUAAUUGGUUCCUUCUAACUCCUACUUUUCUUUUUCUUUACCUGAGUUUUAUAAUAAGAUGAAGAAAUAUUUUUAAUUGGCCAUUGUUUUAGUUUUAUGCUCAAUUUCAGGGAGACAUUCUGGAAAGUAGUGGAAGAAAUUCUGGAUUCCAUUCUGAGUGUUGCUUUUUUUACCUUUGCAUUUGGAGGCAGAUCAUAGUUAGAAUUGGAAAAAGCUCUGACUCAGUCUUUUAUUGGGCUCUAUUUUACUCGUUCAUGAAAUGGAAAUAACAAUUAAUUCUUCUGAAGUUGCCAUGUUUCCAUGAAAAUCAAUAUAUGUGAAAAUGCUUUGAAAAUGUAUGGAACACUGUAUGAUAUUCUAUUAGUCUAGAAAUGCCAAUGAGAGCUGAUGGUAACACUUAUAAUGUUGAAGUGAAUCCUUUCCUUUUUCCCUUGAAAAACGUUGGUACUUAUCAGUUUUUAGCUACUGUUGAUUGCUUGGCAAGUUUUUAAUUUAUUAGAGGAAGUUGUGUUGGAUAUGUUAUUUUACCACUAUAUGUCUUUAUUGUAGGUUCGAAACUAUAAGAGGCUUACCCCCAUUUCUGUGCUGGAUCAUGCAUUGGAAUCUUUAGACAACCUUCGGCCUGGGGACUGUGUUGUCUGUUUUAGCAAGAAUGAUAUUUAUUCUGUGAGUCGGCAGAUUGAAAUUCGAGGAUUGGAAUCAGCUGUUAUAUAUGGCAGUCUCCCACCUGGUAAUUAUUGGCUUUUGUUGUGAUAAGAUAUGAAAUUUUUAAUUUUUGCCAAAUAUGUUAAAAUAUGUAUAGAAAACAUAGUAAAAAAAUUGAAGUAAGCCAUUUGGUUUAUUGGUAAUUUUUUAUAGAUCGUAUGGAAUAAAUAUUUUUUCUAGUUAACCUUGUGGGAAGUAGGAGUAUUUUAAUUACUUAUAGCUCUUAUAAUUUGCUGCUGUUAUCAUAGACUAUAUUUUAAAUGGUGAGUUUAUGAUUUUUUUACAAAAUGUCUUAAAAUAUGGACCCAGUAAUUCCCUUCAAAUUAUUGUCCUGAAAUCUAAUAAGAAUCCUCAGAAUAAGAUUAGUAUGCUGGGGAAGUGCAUUGCUGCAUGAGGGGCAACUUAAAGGAAUGGAGGUAAAGGAUAGUGACUCUUUGAGGUUAUAAAGAAAGAAAUUUUGAAAUGAUAAAAAUUUUAUUCAUAAAAAUAGAGCAGGGGCAAGAGUUUCUAAGCAUGCUUAGCAUGAUGUAGUAAGGCUGGACAGUGCUGAUCUAACUGUUCUAUUGCAGGAACCAAACUUGCUCAAGCAAAAAAGUUUAAUGAUCCCAGUGAUCCGUGCAAAAUCCUGGUCGCUACAGAUGCAAUUGGCAUGGGACUUAAUUUGUAAGUAAUUUGUUUUUAAUAAGCAUCGAUAUUCAGUGGAUUAGAUGGCAGUGUUUGUUUUUGUUUUCAAUUAAAAGAAAUUUUUUUGUAGUUGUAGAUGGACAGAAUGCCUUUAUUUGUUUAUUUUUAUGUGGUGCUAAGAAUUGAACCCAGUGCCUUACACAUGGUGGGCAAGCUCUGUGCCACUGAGCUACAGCCCCAGCCCCUGUUUUCAAUUUUUGAAUUGGGAUGAAUGACCAAACACUUCACUUUAGAAGAAUGGCCAUUACAGUAUAGAUUUGAGUUUUAUCUUGCUUAUAUAUAUUGAAGGAAUAAAAAGAAAAUAUUAUAUAGUACUAGGACUUUGGUGUGCUGCCCCCUACUCUGCUAACCUGUCAUUACCUCACUUUAUUUUCAGUUUCUUGGCUAGCAGGUAUCCAAGUGCCUAUUCUGAAUAUGGGGCUGGCCAUUCUCUCUAGUGAUAACAAUGUUAAGCCACAAUAUUCCACCGUAGGUAAUGAAGGCACCUAUAUACCUUUAAGAAUACAAGAAGUAUUAAUAGUUCUUAAUAGUAGCUCUUUUUUUUUUUUUUGAGAUGGGAUCUCACUGUGUUGCCCAGACUGGCCUUAAACUCUUCUUGGACUUUAGCAAUCCUCUUGUCCCAGCCUCCUGAGUAGCUGAGACUACAGGCACAUACCACUACACCUGGUAUAGCUAACUUUUUAAAGCAGUAUGAGAACACCGUGGGUUAUUUAUAAGAAAGUCAUUCUCUGGGCUGGGGUUGUGGCUCGGAGGUAGAGCACUUGCCUAGCAUGUGUGAAGCACUGGGUUCGAUCCUCAGCACCACAUAAAAUAAAAAAUAAAGAUAUUGUGCCCACCUGUAACUAAAAAAUAAAUAUUUAAAAAAAAAGAAAGUCAUUUUCUGUAGUUUUAUCAAGGUAUAUUUUAUAGACCAUACAGUUCACCUAUUGUAAGUGUACAGUUUGAUGAUUUUUAGUUGGAACAUACUAAUUGAAAAAAGAAUGGUAAUUCUUUUUAAUUGAAUAAUAAUGCAGUUACUAUUGAAAAAAAGAAAGGAAGAAGCCAGGCACCUUGGCGUACACCUUUAAUCCCAGCAGCUCCGGAAGUUGAGACAGGAAGAUUGCGAAUUUAAAGCCAGCCUCAGGAACGGUGAGGCACUAAGCAACUCAGUGAGACCCUGUCUCUAAAUAAAAUACAAAAUAAGGCUGGGGAUGCGGCUCAGUGGUUGAGUGUCCCUGAGUUUUCAAUCCCCGGUACCCCCAUCUCCCAAAGAAAGGAAGAAAAAGAAUUACCAACAAACUUUUUUUAAAAAAUAUUUUUCGUUAUAAAUGGAGAUGAUACCUGAUUUUGUUUAUUAUUAUGUGGUGCUAGGGACUGAACCCAGUGCCUCACACAUGCUAGGCAGUUGCUCUACUACUGACUGAGCUACAACCCCAACCCCAUCAACAAACUUGUUUUCCUUGUUUAUUUAUUUUUAUUAAUAAAAAUUUCAUUUUGUAUGUGGUACUGGUGAUUGAACCCAGGGCUGCUCUACCACCAACCUACAUCCCCAGUCCUUUUUAUUUUUCAUUUGGAGACUGGCCUCAAACUUGUGACCCUCCCGCCUCAGUCUCCUGAGUAGCUGGGAUUACUGGUGUGCUCCAUCACAUCUGUCUUCAUUUUUUAAAUGGCAGCAAAAUGGCAAAUAGGCCUUAAUUAGAAUCAAGUAACAGAGGCUUGUUUAUGCAUUCUGUGGGAUCACUUUCAUUUCUAUUUCAGGAGCAUAAGGAGAAUCAUUUUUUACUCUCUUAUAAAGCCCAGUAUCAAUGAGAAGGGAGAGAAAGAAAUAGAACCAAUCACCACCUCCCAAGCCUUGCAGAUUGCCGGCAGAGCUGGUAGAUUCAGCUCACAGUACAAAGAAGGAGAGGUUACAACGAUGAAUCGCGAGGACCUCGGUUUAUUAAAGGAAAUUUUGAAUAGGCCAGUGGAUCCCAUAAGGGUAAGGUAUAAUACAUGAAUUACUGCUUCUGUGGGGAGUUCAGUCAUAUCUUCCCUCUCCCACAUCCAUACUCCUUCCUGGAAGCAGAAAUAAGCAAAAGAAAAUUUUGUGCCUUUGAAACCUCAUCAAGAAAGCUCCCUUGGGGCUGGGGUUGUAGCUCAAUGGUAGAGUGCUCGCCUUUCGUGGGGAAGGCACUGGGUUCGAUCCAUAGCACCACGUAAAAAUAAAUAAAAUAAAGGUAUUGUCCAUCUACAACUAAAAAAAAAAAAAAAAAGAAAGAAAGCCCUCCUUUAUUGUUUUGAAGAGACAUAGAGACCCCUUGUUCAGAGAAUGGUAUGCAAGUGAAAGAUACAGAUUGAACAAAUUUAGUUGACCUGAUUUUCCUUUAGUUCUUCCUAGAAAUAUAGCAGCAGGUGGGGGGGAGAGGGGCAAAGUUGCUUCAGGUGACAUUAUCUAUGUCAAUGAACUGAAAAAUCACCAGAAGUUUGAUUCUAGAAGUAUGGAUCAGUAACAGCUCUGAGCAUCACAAAUUCAAGCCAGAAAAGACAGUGUUAAAUUUUGGUCAAUGUAGUUAUUGAAUCAGAAGUGUACACAUUUUAAACAAAUUAAUUUUUAAAAAUUAGUUUAAAGUUGCCUGGAAAAAUUCACUUACAUGUGGCUCAUUUAAUUUGUCAGUAACACUAGAUAAAGGGAACAUAUGUGAGAUAAUGCAAGACAAAAAUUCCUGGAGGAAAGCAGUGGUUGAAACCACUUCUAUAGUUUUUGCAGUGGAGUGUGGUUAGGUUCAUAGGGGCUCCCACUGCAGCUGAAGUUUGACACACCCUCAUUUCCCUCUGGGUUACCUUAUUUCUUAUAUUCAGACUCUUCUUCCCUCCCUCAGGACCCAUCUGUCUUCCUUCCUUUCUAUUUUCUUUCUGUCUUUGCUUUCUUUAUCCCUUAUAGUUACCUUGGGCAUUUCUUAAUGCUGCAAUAUAUUGUUAAAGAAAUAACUGGCCUCCUGUUUAGAAACUUUCUCUCAGUAUGUGUGUGUAUCAUUUUUAUUGCCCUGGUUAAAUCAACUGGGUUUUUCUCUUUUACUUUUCUUUAGUGGAGAGAAUUGAGACCUGGAAAAUUUUUAUCCAGUAAAGCAUUUUGGUACUCCAUCAGCUCAUAAUAGGUUUUAGGAAAAUGACUAAAAUAAAAGCACAAGACUGUUUCUUUAAUGAGAAUUAUCUGUUAUUUUUAUUAAAUUAUCUCAUCAACUUUUCUAAUUGGUAAUAAGUAGUAAAAUGAUGAUUUUUUUGUUUUCUGUUUUACUCAAAUUCUUGUCAUUUAACUCCUUUGGUGAGAGAUAAGCCUAAAUGUAGGACUUUAAUUUGAAAUAAUUUAAGCAAAUUUAUCCUUUCAAAAAAACCCAAAACAAUCAGCUCACGUUUAUUUUAUUUUUUACUUUUCCUAAAGGCAGCAGGUCUUCAUCCAACUGCUGAACAGAUUGAAAUGUUUGCUUACCACCUCCCUGAUACAACACUUUCCAAUCUCAUCGUAAGUAGAAACUUUGAAGUCUCAUCUAAAAAUGGUGGUAUGCUAGAGAGUUACUGGUCCACCUCAUGGGUCUGGGUGGAUAGUCUGCCUUUGUAAAGUUGCUCUCCAUGUAACUUAUCUUGUAGAUGAAGACUUUCUUUCAAAAUCCUCUGGGAGUUUCUUGAGGAAUGUUCUGUCUGAGUUUCAGGUUGGGAAGCUGUGGGGGAGAUCUCUUAGCUUCGGGAGGCAGUGAAUAAAGCAGGCCUUUCUGGAAGUCUCUUGUGGAUUAAAGACAUUGUCUUCUAUAGACUUUAUUCCUGCCCAUUGAUGCAGUCCAGUAACUUCAUAUAUUUUUCCUCCCCCAGGAUAUUUUUGUAGACUUCUCACAAGUUGAUGGGCAGUAUUUUGUCUGCAAUAUGGAUGAUUUUAAGUUUUCUGCAGAGUUAAUCCAGCAUAUCCCAUUAAGUCUCCGAGUGAGAUACGUGUUCUGCACAGCCCCUAUCAAUAAGAAGCAGCCCUUUGUGUGCUCCUCAUUGUUACAGGUGAGCCUUCAUGUCUGCUAUUUUGGCUUGUUUAAGAUGGACACCUUUUUUUCCAAAUAAUUGUUUGUUAUUUGAAAUUAAACAUUUGGGAGAGUACCAUAUAAAUAUAAGAGACUUUCUAAAAACUUAAAUAUUCUUGACUCUUUUUCUCACAGAUAAUUUUUUUUCCCCAGUAUUGGGGAUUGAACCCAGGGGGUGCUCUACUGCAAAGCUACAUCCUUAGCUCUUUUUAUUUAUUUACUUCAUAUUUUGAGACAAGUUCUCACUAAGUUGCCCAGGCUGACCUCAAGCUUGUCGUCCUCCUGCCUCAGCCUUCCAAAAUGCUGAGAUUACAGGUGGGCACCACUAUGCCUGGCUUUACAGAUAAUUUUUGAGGGAGGUAGAACCCUUGUCUUACAUUUGGGCUCAUAUUGUAGCCACUGUGAAGAAGCUAAAACAAAGACUGGGGUUGUAUCUCAGUGGCAGAGCGCUUGCCUUGCAUGCAUGAGGCAUUGGGUUCCAUCCUUAGCACCACACAUAAAAAUAAACAAAAUAAAGAUGUUGUGUCCAUCUACAAUUUAAAAAAAAAAUUUAAAAAGAGUCUAAAAUAAAAAUGAUUUAAAAAUAUAUUUUGAGGGAAGGCACUUUGCCUGAUGGCAAACCUUUUCCUUAUUGUUGUGGGGUAACUAUUUCAAAGGGAGAGGGAUUGCAGUAGUGGCAACAAUAUUCAGUUUUCUUAACUGUAAGGCACUGUGCUGGGUGGUUGUCUUGUGUGAGUAUGGGGCCUAGGUUCCAGCCCCCUUCCUUUUAACCCGUUUGUGUAGGGAUGUGAAUCUGUGACUUCUGAGGAGCACAGGACUUUGUGGGAAAGGGCAGCGAGGGCAGGGGAACCCUACAGAGGCCUCUUCUUCCUCUGAAGACUCAUCGUUGCCAACUCCUCUAGAGGCCUUUGUAUUCUGUGCACUAGCUCUUUUAACCAAAUCUAUUUCUAAAUAUAAAUAUGUGUGUGGGGGGGUUUCUUUUUCUUUUGGUACCAGAGAUUGAACCUAGGGGCACUUAACCACUGAGCCACAUCCCCAGCCCUUUUUAGUAUUUUAUUUAGAAACAGGGUCUACUGAGUUCCUUAGGGCCUCACCAAGUUGCUGAGGCUGGCUUUGAACUCUAGGUCCUCCUGCCUCAAUCUCCCAAGCCACUGGGAUUAUAGGCGUGUGUCACCGUGCCUGGGUGUAAAUUUAUAUUUUAAAUUAUAAAAUGCAUAAUACUUUCUCUUAGUAUAACAUUAAAACAUUGCAGGUCGAUAAAUUUGGCCACCUCCCACUCUCGGUUCUCUGAAAUGAUUGCUUUGAUGUGUUUGUGUGCGUCUCUGCAGACCUUUUCCGUGGCGUCUGCCUGCAUGCAUGUGCACAUAGGAAUUCUAGUUUUGUCCUGUGGAUGUGUUUCCCAUAGAUGUUAUCAUAGCAAGUUAUUCUGCAAAUUGCCUUUUUUCCUUAACAGUAUGUCUUAGAGGUCUUCCAUGUCUGGGUUUACCUAGAAAAUAUUUUUCCUGGAGCUGGCAUUUGGGGGAAAGUUAGUACAAGGUCAGAGGUUAGAGAACGGUCUGAGACUGAGGAAGCUGACCUGAAUGGAGCUGGCAUCAGCCUCAUUUGCACUAUCUCUUAAGCUCUUCUAACAAAGCAGGAGCUCUUUGCUAAGGAGUAAGGAAUCUCUGGAACUGUACAGUCAACAUACACACAUAUGUUUUCUGUUUAAAAACUUCUGAAAUCUAGAAGUUUUCCCUUUGCUCUUUUUUUUUUUUUUUUAAUUUUUUUGUAUUGUAGAUGGACAGAAUGCUUUUAUUUUAUUUGUUAACUUUUAUGUGGUGCUGAGGAUCGAACCCAGUGCCUCACACAUGCUAGGCAAGUGCUUUGCCACUGAGCUACAGCCCCAGCCCUCCCUUUGCUCUUGAUCUCUACCAUCACUGAAGUAUAAAGAGCUCAGUCCCAUAGAUGGCCUCCCAUGCCUCUCAGGACAGUGGUUUUGAAACUGUUCUCCCCAGAGCUCCUUUAGGGCUGGCUGCAAGUGGAAUUAUCUCAGUGGACAGUGAGAUACUAAAACUAGUGCUCUCCCUGCCCUCUCCACUCAGCCCCUGAACUUGGACUUCCACUAGUUUCUGUGGCCAGAGUUCUUAAGGGCACUGCCUUUAUAAAGAGAGCCUGAGAACCCCUGCUUGUUGUGUCCUAACAGGUUAGCAUGGUCACAUUUCCAUUCAUCAUGGCUGUCUGACUUGGCAUUUAUUAAAAUUGGCAGAAUGCACCAGACUAAAUUUAACAAAAUUAGAGUAUUCUUUAGCCAAAGGAAUCUAAAAUGGCUCUGCCUCUCUGAAGUAUUGGCCUUGCUUAGGUUAAGCAUUGAGAGAUAAUUUGCCUUAAUUAGGAAAUGAAUUAUUUGAAAUCAGCUUUGACUUGAAGCCAGAGUUUAAACUCUUUUUUUUUUUUUUUCUUGUACCAAGGAUUGAACCCAGAGUUGCUUAACCACUGAGCCACAUCCCCAGCCCCUUUAAUUUUUUUAUUUUGAGAUAGCGUUUCUUCUGAGUUGCUUAGGGCCUCACUAAGUUACUGAGGCUGGCCUUGAAUUUGUGAUCCUCCUGCCUCAGCCUCCCAAGCUGCUGGAUUUCAGGUGUGCACCACUGCACCAAGCCCCUUUUUAUAACUUUUAAUGCAGACAUUAUUGCCCUAACUUUGGAAAAAGGUGAAAGUCAUCUUUUUUUUUCUUAAAGAAUUUAAUUUUUUUAUUUAAAGAACUAAGGUUUUUUUCUUUCUUUUUUUUUUUUUAAUGUGUGUGUAUGUGUGUAGAUUAAAUGUUUUUAAAAAUGUAAAAAAAGCCAGGGCUGGGGAUAUAGCUCAGUUGGUAGAGUGCUUGCCUUGUGUGCACAAGGCCCUGGGUUCAAUACCCAAUACCACCAAAAAAAGUAAAAAAAUAUCAAGGAGCAAAGAAACAAGCCUGUCUAUUGAAACACAACCACAGGUAAUAUUUGUGCUUUUUUCUAAUUAUAGACUUAAGGGAAUUCUAAUUCUUUUACCAAACUAUUCCUCAGUUUGCCAGGCAGUAUAGCAGGAAUGAGCCUUUGACCUUUGCAUGGUUACGCCGAUACAUCAAAUGGCCUCUACAACCACCUAAGAACAUUAAAGACCUCAUGGAUCUUGAAGCUGUCCAUGACGUCUUGGAUCUUUACCUGUGGCUAAGGUACCAAUUUUCUCCUUUAUGUGUUCUUGUUUCUAAGUAAUAGGGCAAAUCAAAGGUUUUAUGAAUGGUGGGAGGUUUUUUGUUUGUUUUUUGUUUCAAACUCAGCACAUAUUUGCAAGAAGCUCUAUAUUAUGUUUGUUGUCAAUAAAAGCACUUGAGCCUGGCUUAUAUUUCUUCCAAAAAAGUCUUCAGGAGUUUUGUGGUUAUCAUUGAGACAGCCAAGUGAGAAGAUCCACUAGACCCUUUCUACUCAAAGAGUGGUCCUUGGAUCACAAGUGUUGGUAUCACCUGGGAGCUUUAGAAAUAAAGAAUCUCAGGGCCAUCCCAGACUUAAUCAGAUUCUGCAGUUUAACAGUAUCUUCAGUUGGUUCACUUGUAGAUUUUUGACAUUUGAGAAUCCGUGCUCUAGAGGGCUCGGCUUCUCAAAGGAGGGGUAUAUAUCCCUAGGGGAGCAUAUAAAGAUUACUUGAGAUAGCAUACCAACCCACUUUCAUCAUGACAUAUUCCUCAGGUAUGUUGGAGAAGAAGUAGAAGUUGAAUAAAGAUACUGGACAGUUUGCAAAAAGAAAACAUUUGGAAUUAACGUAGGUGUGCCACUGAGAUUAGUCCAGAGCUGUUGCUAUAAUAUAUCGUGUCCUUUUCACAGCUACCGAUUCAUGGACAUGUUUCCAGAUACCAGCCUUGUGCGAGACCUGCAGAAGGAGCUGGAUGGUGUUAUCCAGGACGGUGUUCACAACAUCACCAAACUGAUUAAAAUUUCCGAGACACGUAAGCUGUUGCAUCUGGAAAGCUCAUUAGCAGGGAGCCAGUCACGUUUGUCAGGAACCUUGAAGAGCCAAGCUAGAAGGGCACGUGGCACCAAAACUGCAGGGAGUAAAGCUGCUGAGCCGCUUGGCGCCAGCGCUGGGGAGCUAUCCCUCGCUUCCAGACUGGUGCAGCAAGGACUCCUCACUCCAGACAUGUUGAAGCAGCUUGAAAAGGAGUGGAUGACACAACAGACUGAACAUGGCCAAGAGAGAACAGAGUCUGGGACUUACUCAAAAGGGACAAGAAGAAAGAAGAAGGAACACAAUUCUGAUUAGUUUUUGUUUUUUUAAUUUUGCAAAUAAAAAUCUAUUUUAAGUCCAGUUUGUUUGAAUGAGCAUUUGCUGCUUGCUG